AUGGCUUGGGCCUUCGGCACCAUGGCGGCAUCAGUUUGCACGUUGUCGCUCCACUUGUAUUGCUGGUUGCAAAAUAGUGAAAAUUUCUCUAGCGUUGUGGGAGCUGCUGCUGUUGCAUUUAAAUUGGUUUGUCCAAAUCGACAGUCCGAGGCUCCAGCGGAUGCAGUCGCAACCCCACCUCUAGAUCAGCUCACCACCCAACCAGUUACACUCAGUUAUGUGACAGUUUUGAUUCAUUCUACAGAAUUAUUGGAACUCUGGAAUGACCAAAUCUCAAUUCUGCUUCAAAGUUGA
Molecule: ribosomal RNA, 294 nt
Filed under: Triticum aestivum (bread wheat)
Lineage: Eukaryota; Viridiplantae; Streptophyta; Magnoliopsida; Poales; Poaceae
Description: partial small subunit ribosomal RNA
Source: RNAcentral